This 356-nucleotide ribosomal RNA is filed under the name Escherichia coli. RNAcentral describes it as "bacterial LSU rRNA". It matches the Rfam family "Bacterial large subunit ribosomal RNA", at positions 165 to 559 of the family's 2925-position model. RNAcentral also lists the same sequence under 1 other name. The record is from RNAcentral. Lineage: Bacteria; Pseudomonadati; Pseudomonadota; Gammaproteobacteria; Enterobacterales; Enterobacteriaceae.
CAUAGGUUAAUGAGGCGAACCGGGGGAACUGAAACAUCUAAGUACCCCGAGGAAAAGAAAUCAACCGAGAUUCCCCCAGUAGCGGCGAGCGAACGGGGAGCAGCCCAGAGCCUGAAUCAGUGUGUGUGUUAGUGGAAGCGUCUGGAAAGGCGCGCGAUACAGGGUGACAGCCCCGUACACAAAAAUGCACAUGCUGUGAGCUCGAUGAGUAGGGCGGGACACGUGGUAUCCUGUCUGAAUAUGGGGGGACCAUCCUCCAAGGCUAAAUACUCCUGACUGACCGAUAGUGAACCAGUACCGUGAGGGAAAGGCGAAAAGAACCCCGGCGAGGGGAGUGAAAAAGAACCUGAAACCGU